Molecule: ribosomal RNA, 83 nt
Filed under: Pseudidiomarina tainanensis
Lineage: Bacteria; Pseudomonadati; Pseudomonadota; Gammaproteobacteria; Alteromonadales; Idiomarinaceae
Source: RNAcentral
UCCAUUCCGAACUCAGAAGUGAAACGCUUCCGCGCCGAUGGUAGUGUAGGGUCUCCCUAUGCGAGAGUAGGUCACCGCCAGGC